CCUUGGCUUUGUAUCUUCUUACAAGGAAACACUACUUAGGCUUUUAAGAUUCAGUUGCGAUUUAAGUUUUUAUACUCAAUCAUACACAUGACAUAUAGUCAUAUUUG
RNAcentral lists this small RNA (107 nucleotides) under Arabidopsis thaliana (thale cress). Its description in RNAcentral is "ATSL266950". Lineage: Eukaryota; Viridiplantae; Streptophyta; Magnoliopsida; Brassicales; Brassicaceae. The record is from RNAcentral.